CCGAGUUUACAACUCCCAAACCCCUGUGAACAUACCUAUAUGUUGCCUCGGCGGAUCAGCCCGCGCCCCGUAAAACGGGACGGCCCGCCGCAGGAUCCCUAAACUCUGUUUUUAGUGGAACUUCUGAGUAAACAAACAAAUAAAUCA
This 147-nucleotide unclassified non-coding RNA is filed under the name soil metagenome. Its description in RNAcentral is "partial internal transcribed spacer 1". The record is from RNAcentral.